AAUAGGUGUAUGAUAAAUUAGAUUUUUCUUUCAUAUUUUUAACUUUUUUCCCCUAAAAAAAUUUAAAUCAAACUAAAAAUGUUAAAAAUCAGAAGAAAAAUCUGAUUUGUCAUACUCUUAUU
RNAcentral lists this microRNA precursor (122 nucleotides) under Gossypium arboreum. RNAcentral describes it as "MIR7504 microRNA precursor family". It matches the Rfam family "MIR7504 microRNA precursor family". The record is from Rfam by way of RNAcentral. Lineage: Eukaryota; Viridiplantae; Streptophyta; Magnoliopsida; Malvales; Malvaceae.